This 491-nucleotide ribosomal RNA is filed under the name uncultured bacterium. RNAcentral describes it as "bacterial SSU rRNA". It matches the Rfam family "Bacterial small subunit ribosomal RNA", at positions 28 to 518 of the family's 1533-position model. The record is from RNAcentral.
GACGAACGCUGGCGGCGUGCCUAACACAUGCAAGUCGAACGGAGCAGCAGCAAUGCUGCUUAGUGGCGGACGGGCGAGUAACGCGUGAGCAACCUGCCUUGUACUGGGGGAUAACGACGGGAAACCGUCGCUAAUACCGCAUAAUACUGAGGGGCUACCUGGUCCUUCAGUCAAAACUCCGGUGGUACAAGAUGAGCUCGCGUCCAAUUAGCUAGUUGGCGGGGUAAUGGCCCACCAAGGCGACGAUUGGUAGCCGAACUGAGAGGUUGAUCGGCCGCAUUGGGACUGAGACACGGCCCAGACUCCUACGGGAGGCAGCAGUGGGGAAUAUUGCACAAUGGAGGAAACUCUGAUGCAGCAACGCCGCGUGAAGGAUGAAGGCUUUCGGGUUGUAAAGCUCUGUGGGAGGGAAGAAAACUCGGAUUCGAAUAGGGUCUGAGGUUGACGGUACCUCCUUAGCAAGCACCGGCUAACUCUGUGCCAGCAGCCGC